GCGGAAUUUAAUAAUGAUUGUUUAUAUUCAACAAACCAGAUCGUCAAAUAAUGUUGCAGCAACGAAAGUCAUUAGUUUAAUUCUCGUUUGUAAAUCAGAGUUAUACCCAUUUGAACAGGACAAACAUAUUUAUGCAACGACGCCUUUCAUGUGGCACGAUAAAGUUUAUCUAGCAAACAUUCGAAUUACUAUCAACUCAUUAAAUAAAGCGCUGGCGUAUCCGUGAUCGUCUACCGUAUCCAUACAUUCCAUUCCCUGCGCAAAACAAAACCAUUUCAUAUAUAUUACAACGUUAUAUAUAUAUAUGAAUGAUGUUAGCUUAUAACAACUUAUAGGCCCUUUGCUUACAUCCAGCAGCGUAUCUGUAAAGGUUAUUUGUCAUCCGUCAAGCAUUGAAUGCAGCACACGAACUAGUAUCUGUCUGAUAUGAUGGAUGUUCAGAAUUAGUAGUUAAAAGCAAAAGUGGAAGGCUAGUUGAGGAAGAGAGAGAGAGAGGUCUGAACUCUUAUAUUUUGAAAAUUGCCCUUUUUCGAUAUUGAUUUUUACUGGAUAUACGCUCUUAAUAAUAGUAACUUAAUCCGAAAAAAUAAUAUUUUUUAUGUGUGUGUAUCAUUUCGGAAGUUUGUUAACUUUCAUUGGAACAGGAUAUUCAAUUUCGUUUCUUAAUAACAAAUGAAGCUAGCUU
Molecule: long non-coding RNA, 685 nt
Filed under: Androctonus crassicauda
Lineage: Eukaryota; Metazoa; Arthropoda; Arachnida; Scorpiones; Buthidae
Source: RNAcentral